RNAcentral lists this ribosomal RNA (516 nucleotides) under uncultured bacterium. RNAcentral describes it as "partial 16S ribosomal RNA". It matches the Rfam family "Bacterial small subunit ribosomal RNA", at positions 355 to 862 of the family's 1533-position model. The record is from RNAcentral.
UAGGGAAUCUUCGGCAAUGGGGGCAACCCUGACCGAGCAACGCCGCGUGAGUGAAGAAGGUUUUCGGAUCGUAAAGCUCUGUUGUAAGUCAAGAACGGGUGUGAGAGUGGAAAGUUCACACUGUGACGGUAGCUUACCAGAAAGGGACGGCUAACUACGUGCCAGCAGCCGCGGUAAUACGUAGGUCCCGAGCGUUGUCCGGAUUUAUUGGGCGUAAAGCGAGCGCAGGCGGUUUGAUAAGUCUGAAGUUAAAGGCUGUGGCUCAACCAUAGUUCGCUUUGGAAACUGUCAAACUUGAGUGCAGAAGGGGAGAGUGGAAUUCCAUGUGUAGCGGUGAAAUGCGUAGAUAUAUGGAGGAACACCGGUGGCGAAAGCGGCUCUCUGGUCUGUAACUGACGCUGAGGCUCGAAAGCGUGGGGAGCGAACAGGAUUAGAUACCCUGGUAGUCCACGCCGUAAACGAUGAGUGCUAGGUGUUGGAUCCUUUCCGGGAUUCAGUGCCGCAGCUAACGCAUUA